Molecule: ribosomal RNA, 404 nt
Filed under: uncultured bacterium
Lineage: Bacteria
Description: bacterial SSU rRNA
Rfam family: Bacterial small subunit ribosomal RNA
Source: RNAcentral
UGGGGAAUAUUGCACAAUGGGGGAAACCCUGAUGCAGCAACGCCGCGUGGAGGAUGACGCAUUUCGGUGUGUAAACUCCUUUUAUAUGGGAAGAUAAUGACGGUACCAUAUGAAUAAGCACCGGCUAACUCCGUGCCAGCAGCCGCGGUAAUACGGAGGGUGCAAGCGUUACUCGGAAUCACUGGGCGUAAAGCGCGCGCAGGCGGAUUGGAAAGUCAGAAGUGAAAUCCUACAGCUUAACUGUAGAACUGCUUCUGAAACUCUCAAUCUAGAGUGUGGGAGAGGUAAGUGGAAUUAGUGGUGUAGGGGUAAAAUCCGCAGAGAUCACUAGGAAUACCAAAAGCGAAGGCAACUUACUGGAACACUACUGACGCUGAGGCGCGAAAGCGUGGGGAGCAAACAGG